This 71-nucleotide transfer RNA is filed under the name Loxodonta africana (African savanna elephant). It matches the Rfam family "tRNA". Rfam says of the family: Transfer RNA (tRNA) molecules are approximately 80 nucleotides in length. Their secondary structure includes four short double-helical elements and three loops (D, anti-codon, and T loops). The record is from Rfam by way of RNAcentral. Lineage: Eukaryota; Metazoa; Chordata; Mammalia; Proboscidea; Elephantidae.
AUAUUGGUGGUUCAGUGGUAGAAUUCUUGCCUUUGAUGCAGGAGACCGGGGUUCAAUUCCUAAUCAAUGCA